Molecule: ribosomal RNA, 457 nt
Filed under: uncultured bacterium
Lineage: Bacteria
Description: SSU rRNA
Rfam family: Bacterial small subunit ribosomal RNA
Source: RNAcentral
AGAAUCAACGCUGGCGGCGUGCCUAACACAUGCAAGUCGCACGAGAAAGGGGAGCAAUCCCUGAGUACAGUGGCGCACGGGUGAGUAACACGUGAAUCAUCUACCUUCGAGUGGGGAAUAACUGAGAGAAAUCUUAGCUAAUACCGCAUAACACUUACGAGUCAAAGCAGCAAUGCGCUUGAAGAGGAGUUCGCGGCAGAUUAGUUAGUUGGCAGGGUAAUGGCCUACCAAGACGAUGAUCUGUAUCCGGCCUGAGAGGGCGCACGGACACACUGGAACUGAAACACGGUCCAGACUCCUACGGGAGGCAGCAGUGGGGAAUUUUGCGCAAUGGGGGAAACCCUGACGCAGCAACGCCGCGUGGAGGAUGAAAUCCUGGGAUGUAAACUCCUUUCGAUAGGGAAGAUAAUGACGGUACCUAUAGAAGAAGCCCGGCUAACUUCGUGCCAGCAGCCGC